UACGGAGGGUGCAAGCGUUAAUCGGAAUUACUGGGCGUAAAGCGCGCGUAGGCGGUUUGUUAAGCUUGAUGUGAAAGCCCUGGGCUCAACCUAGGAAUUGCAUUGAGAACUGGCAAACUAGAGUACAGCAGAGGAUUUCGGAAUUUCUAGUGUAGCGGUGGAAUGCGUAGAUAUUAGAAGGAACAUCAAUGGCGAAGGCAGAUGUCUGGGCUGAUACUGACGCUGAGGUGCGAAAGCGUGGGGAGCAAACAGG
RNAcentral lists this ribosomal RNA (253 nucleotides) under uncultured bacterium. RNAcentral's name for it is "partial 16S ribosomal RNA". It matches the Rfam family "Bacterial small subunit ribosomal RNA", at positions 524 to 776 of the family's 1533-position model. The record is from RNAcentral.